This 345-nucleotide unclassified non-coding RNA is filed under the name soil metagenome. Its description in RNAcentral is "partial contains 5.8S ribosomal RNA, internal transcribed spacer 2, and large subunit ribosomal RNA". The stretch from base 1 to 120 matches the Rfam family "5.8S ribosomal RNA", at positions 35 to 154 of the family's 154-position model. The record is from RNAcentral.
GAUGAAGAACGCAGCGAAAUGCGAUACGUAAUGUGAAUGGCAGAAUUCAGUGAAUCAUCGAGUCUUUGAACGCACAUUGCGCCCCCUGGUAUUCCGGGGGGCAUGCCUGUCCGAGCGUCAUUGCUGCCCUCAAGCACGGCUUGUGUGUUGGGCCUCCGUCCUCCUCCCGGGGGACGGGCCCGAAAGGCAGCGGCGGCACCGCGUCCGGUCCUCGAGCGUAUGGGGCUUCGUCACCCGCUCUUGUAGGCCCGGCCGGCGCUUGCCGACACAUCAAUCUUUUUUCCAGGUUGACCUCGGAUCAGGUAGGGAUACCCGCUGAACUUAAGCAUAUCAAUAAGCGGAGGA